Oxyura jamaicensis (ruddy duck) is the source of this 326-nucleotide long non-coding RNA. RefSeq lists it as uncharacterized. The transcript has 3 exons. The record is from RefSeq and is a predicted model, not a curated record. NCBI's taxonomy places the organism in Eukaryota, Metazoa, Chordata, Aves, Anseriformes, Anatidae.
UGGGAGUUCUGGCUCCCAGGUAAACCCUAUUUUUGGAAACGCUGCUGCUGCUUACUUACAGCACAUCUGAAAGAGGUCAUAAAAUAAAAUAUGGGCUUUCUUGAUUUAGAAGCUGGUCAUCCCUUUUUUUUUUGGAAUGAACUAUUCCAUAUAGCUUAGCAGAGGUCAAGGAGGAUGGUGUUACCUUUUCCAAGACAUGCAAGGACUGGCUACUAGCGCCCGAGAGCUGCCCACCGCCGUGCGGACUUACCGAGCCCCUGUACUUCUCCAGAGAGACUAAUUUGCCCCUGAUGUUUACAACUUUGAAAGUGUAAAAAUCAGUCUCU